GUGGGUGUAGUUCAGUUGGUUAGAAUGCCAGAUUGUGACUCUGGAGGUCAUGGGUUCAAGUCCCAUCACUCACCCCA
Molecule: transfer RNA, 77 nt
Filed under: Clostridiales bacterium
Lineage: Bacteria; Bacillati; Bacillota; Clostridia; Eubacteriales
Also listed under: 2 other names
Description: tRNA-His
Rfam family: tRNA
About the family: Transfer RNA (tRNA) molecules are approximately 80 nucleotides in length.
Source: RNAcentral